AACUAGGGUGAUGAAAAAGUAUCCUUAGGCGUGGUUCUGGCCGUCUUGGUCACCUGUAUGCCACUUGCCAAUGCAAGGACUUGUCAUAGUUACACUGACUGUUA
Small nucleolar RNA from Rattus norvegicus (Norway rat), 104 nucleotides. Ensembl annotates it as small nucleolar RNA, C/D box 46. Its record names the gene Snord46. NCBI's taxonomy places the organism in Eukaryota, Metazoa, Chordata, Mammalia, Rodentia, Muridae. The record is from Ensembl.